ACUCCUACGGGAGGCAGCAGUGGGGAAUAUUGCACAAUGGGCGAAAGCCUGAUGCAGCCAUGCCGCGUGUAUGAAGAAGGCCUUCGGGUUGUAAAGUACUUUCAGUCGUGAGGAAGGGUGUGUAGUUAAUAGCUGCCUACGGUGACGUUAGCGACAGAAGAAGCACCGGCUAACUCCGUGCCAGCAGCCGCGGUAAUAC
This 199-nucleotide ribosomal RNA is filed under the name uncultured Vibrio sp. RNAcentral's name for it is "partial 16S ribosomal RNA". It matches the Rfam family "Bacterial small subunit ribosomal RNA", at positions 335 to 526 of the family's 1533-position model. Lineage: Bacteria; Pseudomonadati; Pseudomonadota; Gammaproteobacteria; Vibrionales; Vibrionaceae. The record is from RNAcentral.